Molecule: non-coding RNA, 26 nt
Filed under: Cricetulus griseus (Chinese hamster)
Lineage: Eukaryota; Metazoa; Chordata; Mammalia; Rodentia; Cricetidae
Source: RNAcentral
CUGGACUGAACUCUAGGUUAUGGCAG